This 102-nucleotide non-coding RNA is filed under the name Serratia sp. DD3. Its description in RNAcentral is "Yersinia sRNA 190". It matches the Rfam family "Yersinia sRNA 190". Lineage: Bacteria; Pseudomonadati; Pseudomonadota; Gammaproteobacteria; Enterobacterales; Yersiniaceae. The record is from Rfam by way of RNAcentral.
GCGAAUUGCUACGAUAUCAUUAUAAUGCCUGACCUUGUCCCUGCCGUUGGCAUAAAAACCCCCGGUAACAGGUGACAAAUGGGUGACAUCAGGUUAUUUUUU